This 447-nucleotide ribosomal RNA is filed under the name uncultured bacterium. RNAcentral describes it as "bacterial SSU rRNA". It matches the Rfam family "Bacterial small subunit ribosomal RNA", at positions 29 to 521 of the family's 1533-position model. The record is from RNAcentral.
AACGAACGCUGGCGGCAGGCCUAACACAUGCAAGUCGAGCGAGGACUUCGGUUCUAGCGGCGGACGGGUGAGUAACGCGUGGGAACGUGCCCUUUGCUACGGGAUAGCCCUGGGAAACUGGGAGUAAUACCGUAUGUGCCCUUUGGGGGAAAGAUUUAUCGGCAAAGGAUCGGCCCGCGUUGGAUUAGGUAGUUGGUGGGGUAAUGGCCUACCAAGCCGACGAUCCAUAGCUGGUUUGAGAGGAUGAUCAGCCACACUGGGACUGAGACACGGCCCAGACUCCUACGGGAGGCAGCAGUGGGGAAUCUUAGACAAUGGGCGCAAGCCUGAUCUAGCCAUGCCGCGUGAGCGAUGAAGGCCUUAGGGUUGUAAAGCUCUUUCAGGGGGGAAGAUAAUGACUGUACCCCCAGAAGAAGCCCCGGCUAACUCCGUGCCAGCAGCCGCGGU